This 253-nucleotide ribosomal RNA is filed under the name uncultured bacterium. RNAcentral describes it as "partial 16S ribosomal RNA". It matches the Rfam family "Bacterial small subunit ribosomal RNA", at positions 524 to 776 of the family's 1533-position model. The record is from RNAcentral.
UACGUAGGGAGCAAGCGUUGUCCGGAAUCAUUGGGCGUAAAGCGCGCGUAGGCGGCCUCAUAAGUCCGUUGUGAAAGUCAAAGGCUCAACCUUUGAAAGCGGAUGGAUACUGUGAGGCUAGAGUUCGGAAGAGGCGAGUGGAAUUCCUGGUGUAGCGGUGGAAUGCGCAGAUAUCAGGAGGAACACCAAUAGCGAAGGCAGCUCGCUGGGACGAUACUGACGCUAAGGCGCGAAAGCGUGGGGGGCGAACAGG